UGGGGAAUAUUGGACAAUGGGCGAAAGCCUGAUCCAGCCAUGCCGCGUGUGUGAAGAAGGUCUUCGGAUUGUAAAGCACUUUAAGUUGGGAGGAAGGGCAGUAAGCGAAUACCUUGCUGUUUUGACGUUACCGACAGAAUAAGCACCGGCUAACUCUGUGCCAGCAGCCGCGGUAAUACAGAGGGUGCAAGCGUUAAUCGGAAUUACUGGGCGUAAAGCGCGCGUAGGUGGUUCGUUAAGUUGAAUGUGAAAGCCCCGGGCUCAACCUGGGAACUGCAUCCAAAACUGGCGAGCUAGCGUAGGGCAGAGGGUGGUGGAAGUUCCUGUGUAGCGGUGAAAUGCGUAGAUAUAGGAAGGAACACCAGUGGCGAAGGCGACCACCUGGGCUCAUACUGACACUGAGGUGCGAAAGCGUGGGGAGCAAACAGG
This 429-nucleotide ribosomal RNA is filed under the name Pseudomonadota bacterium. RNAcentral describes it as "Proteobacteria bacterium partial 16S ribosomal RNA". It matches the Rfam family "Bacterial small subunit ribosomal RNA", at positions 355 to 776 of the family's 1533-position model. The record is from RNAcentral. Lineage: Bacteria; Pseudomonadati; Pseudomonadota.